UGUCUCACUGUUGUUCUUCGCACCUCUGGAACCCCAUCCAAUCCUCACCACCAUGGACCGCUCAUCUCAGUUCCUGUGUCACGCUCUCCUGCUGUCUCUACUCAUCGACACUUCCUGGGUCACCAUCAGACAUCUCUACAUACCUGUUGUUCCUGCCAUUCUUCUCUAUUCAUUGGACUCUGUUAAUAAAUCCUAUUUCAUUUACUUGCACUUGCUUCCUUACCAUUAUUUCCCAUUACAGAACGCUCUGACCAACAUGGAAGCAGCAAGUUUCACAUCCCUAUCCGAAUACAUCCACCACAGCGUCACCCUAUGGAUCAACAGCAGGAGACCAUCGUCAACACCGGAUGCGCUGUCCAAGCGCUGGUGACACAGUUGGGGUUAACGCCACCACGCUGCGGCAGAUGGAGACGCUGAAGAGGGACUUCAGCAGCCUGAUCGAGACGGUUCGCAGCACGACACCCGCGGCGACGAUCGUCGUGUUAGGACCACUGCCCACGUAUCGACGAGGACACGAAAGGUUCAGUAGACUUUUUGCUUUAAAUGAAUGGUUGUUGUCAUGGUGUAAAGAACAGAAACUUCUAUUUGUUAAUAACUGGUAUCUUUUCUGGGAGCGUCCUAGGCUGUUUCGCGCUGAUGGAUUACACCCCAGCAAAAUCGGAGCGGAGCUGCUUUCUGACAACAUCUCCAGGACACUUCGUUCCAUGUGACUAAACACCUGAGAAGAGAUGAUGCUGACCCUCAGAGGACCCCAGAUGAUGCUAACCUUGAAUCAACAAACAGAACUAACAAUUAUUGCUAAAUGUGUGACUGCAUCAUAUAAUAACUAUUAAUUACUAAUAUUGAUAGUUCAUCUUCUAGCUGACUACAUCUUGUAUUAUUAUUAUUUAUUUUUAUGUUUUCUAAAAUCCUGUCAAACGUGCACAAACUACUAGCUACUACUAAAUAUUGUAGAAACAUAAUUUUCUGUAAAGUUGCUUUGUAACUAUUUGUAUUGUAAAAAGCGCUAUACAAAUAAACUUGAAUUGAAUUGAAUUGAAAA
This is a long non-coding RNA of Carassius gibelio (silver crucian carp), 1042 nucleotides long. RefSeq lists it as uncharacterized. The transcript is spliced from 2 exons. Lineage: Eukaryota; Metazoa; Chordata; Actinopteri; Cypriniformes; Cyprinidae. The record is from RefSeq and is a predicted model, not a curated record.